GCGUGGACGUGUCCAUGCCAUUGUAUAUUUGUGUUCAAAUUACUUUUUUAACUUGGCGUGGACGCGUCCAUGCCAUCAAUGGCAUGGACAAGUUAAUUAAUUAAAAAAGUAAUUGGAACAUAAAUAUACAAUGGCAUGGAUCCGUCCAAUGCAU
Molecule: microRNA precursor, 154 nt
Filed under: Paramuricea clavata
Lineage: Eukaryota; Metazoa; Cnidaria; Anthozoa; Malacalcyonacea; Plexauridae
Source: RNAcentral